GUUGUGAGGUUAAGCGACUAAGCGUACACGGUGGAUGCCCUGGCAGUCAGAGGCGAUGAAGGGCGUGCUAAUCUGCGAUAAGCGCCGGUAAGGUGAUAUGAACCGUUAUAACCGGCGAUACCCGAAUGGGGAAACCCAGUGUGUUUCGACACACUAUCAUUAACUGAAUCCAUAGGUUAAUGAGGCGAACCGGGGGAACUGAAACAUCUAAGUACCCCGAGGAAAAGAAAUCAACCGAGAUUCCCCCAGUAGCGGCGAGCGAACGGGGAGGAGCCCAGAGCCUGAAUCAGCAUGUGUGUUAGUGGAAGCGUCUGGAAAGGCGCGCGAUACAGGGUGACAGCCCCGUACACAAAAGCGCAUGUGCUGUGAGCUCGAUGAGUAGGGCGGGACACGUGGUAUCCUGUCUGAAUAUGGGGGGACCAUCCUCCAAGGCUAAAUACUCCUGACUGACCGAUAGUGAACCAGUACCGUGAGGGAAAGGCGAAAAGAACCCCGGCGAGGGGAGUGAAAAAGAACCUGAAACCGU
Molecule: ribosomal RNA, 526 nt
Filed under: Salmonella enterica subsp. enterica serovar Reading
Lineage: Bacteria; Pseudomonadati; Pseudomonadota; Gammaproteobacteria; Enterobacterales; Enterobacteriaceae
Also listed under: 1 other name
Description: partial 23S ribosomal RNA
Rfam family: Bacterial large subunit ribosomal RNA
Source: RNAcentral